UGCCGCUGGAGCUGACUGUGC
This 21-nucleotide non-coding RNA is filed under the name Arabidopsis thaliana (thale cress). Lineage: Eukaryota; Viridiplantae; Streptophyta; Magnoliopsida; Brassicales; Brassicaceae. The record is from RNAcentral.